AACGAACGCUGGCGGCAUGCCUAACACAUGCAAGUCGAACGAGACCUUCGGGUCUAGUGGCGCACGGGUGCGUAACGCGUGGGAACCUGCCCUUAGGUUCGGAAUAACUCCCCGAAAGGGGUGCUAAUACCGGAUAAUGUCUUCGGACCAAAGAUUUAUCGCCUUUGGAUGGGCCCGCGUUGGAUUAGCUAGUUGGUAGGGUAAAAGCCUACCAAGGCGACGAUCCAUAGCUGGUCUGAGAGGAUGAUUAGCCACACUGGGACUGAGACACGGCCCAGACUCCUACGGGAGGCAGCAGUGGGGAAUAUUGGACAAUGGGCGAAAGCCUGAGCCAGCAAUGCCGCGUGAGUGAUGAAGGCCUUAGGGUUGUAAAGCUCUUUUACCCGGGAUGAUAAUGACAGUACCGGGAGAAUAAGCUCCGGCUAACUCCGUG
RNAcentral lists this ribosomal RNA (433 nucleotides) under uncultured bacterium. RNAcentral describes it as "partial 16S ribosomal RNA". It matches the Rfam family "Bacterial small subunit ribosomal RNA", at positions 29 to 507 of the family's 1533-position model. The record is from RNAcentral.